GACGAACGCUGGCGGCGUGCUUAACACAUGCAAGUCGAACGGGCCUUGUCCCCUUUUUUUUGGGGGUGGGGUUAGUGGCGAACGGGUGAGUAACACGUGAGUAACCUGCCCCUCACUUCUGGAUAACCGCUUGAAAGGGUGGCUAAUACGGGGUGUUCUGGCCUGCUCGCAUGGGUGGGUUUGGAAAGAUUCGACCGGUUUUGGUUGUUUUGGUGGGGGAUGGGCUCGCGGCCUAUCAGCUUGUUGGUGGGGUGAUGGCCUGCCAAGGCUUUGACGGGUAGCAGGCCUGAGAGGGUGAGCGGUCACACUGGGACUGAGACACGGCCCAGACUCAUACGAGAGGCAGCAGUGGGGAAUAUUGCACAAUGGGCGCAAGCCUGAUGCAGCGACGCCGCGUGAGGGAUGGAGGCCUUCGGGUUGUGAACCUCUUUCGCCAGUGAAGAAGGUCCUGCUCUUUGUGGUGGGGUUGACGGUAGCUGGGUUAAUGAAGCGCCGGCUAACUACGUG
RNAcentral lists this ribosomal RNA (507 nucleotides) under uncultured bacterium. RNAcentral describes it as "partial 16S ribosomal RNA". It matches the Rfam family "Bacterial small subunit ribosomal RNA", at positions 28 to 507 of the family's 1533-position model. The record is from RNAcentral.